RNAcentral lists this ribosomal RNA (253 nucleotides) under uncultured bacterium. RNAcentral describes it as "partial 16S ribosomal RNA". It matches the Rfam family "Bacterial small subunit ribosomal RNA", at positions 524 to 776 of the family's 1533-position model. The record is from RNAcentral.
UACGGAGGGGGCGAGCGUUAUUCGGAAUUAUUGGGCGUAAAGGGCGCGUAGGCGGCUAGGUAAGUCAAAGGUGAAAUCCCUCGGCUCAACUGAGGAACUGCCUUUGAAACUGCCUAGCUUGAGGCCGGGAGGGGGUGGCGGAAUUCCCAGUGUAGCGGUGAAAUGCGUAGAUAUUGGGAGGGACACCAGUGGCGAAGGCGGCCACCUGGACCGGUUCUGACGCUGAUGCGCGAAAGCGUGGGUAGCAAACAGG